This 290-nucleotide small nuclear RNA is filed under the name Saimiri boliviensis boliviensis (Bolivian squirrel monkey). RNAcentral describes it as "7SK RNA (ENSSBOG00000009843.1)". It matches the Rfam family "7SK RNA". From Rfam's summary of the family: 7SK was discovered as an abundant small nuclear RNA in the mid-70s but a possible function has only recently been suggested. Two independent studies have found that 7SK RNA binds the CDK9/cyclin T complex (known as elongation factor P-TEFb). Lineage: Eukaryota; Metazoa; Chordata; Mammalia; Primates; Cebidae. The record is from Rfam by way of RNAcentral.
GGAUGUGAGGGCGAUCUGGCCGCGGCGUCUGUCACCGCAGUAACCGCCAGGGUGGACUCGGCUGCUCUGGCUGGCUGGGCGGGUGUCCCUUCCGUCCUCGCCGCUGCGAGCGCGUCCCUCCCGAAGCUGCGGCUCGGUCGAACAGGACGACCCUACCCGCUAGAGGAGCUGCGCUCCCCCGCUAGACCCUCCAGACAAGCGCUCAAGCUCCAUUUGUGGGGGAGCGUAGGGUUGUCAAGACUCCACACACAUCCACAGGAGGCGCUGCAUGUGGGAAUCUGCCUUUCUAG